UAGGGAAUAUUGGACAAUGGACGAAAGUCUGAUCCAGCAAUGCCGCGUGAGUGACGAAGGAUUUCGGUCUGUAAAGCUCUUUUCUGAGGGAAGAAAUGGCACAAGAGGAAAUGCUCGUGUCUUGACGGUACCUCAGGAAUAAGGGACGGCUAACUCCGUGCCAGCAGCCGCGGUAAUACGGAGGUCCCAAGCGUUGUUCGGAAUUACUGGGCGUAAAGGGAGCGCAGGCGGACUGGCAAGUCUAAAGUGGAAUCCCGGGGCUCAACCUCGGAACUGCUUCGGAUACUAUCAGUCUUGAGUUCGUGAGAGGAAAGCGGAAUUCAGGGUGUAGCGGUGAAAUGCUUAGAUAUCCUGAGGAACACCAAUGGCGAAGGCAGCUUUCUGGCGCGAUACUGACGCUGAGGCUCGAAAGCGUGGGGAGCGAACGG
Molecule: ribosomal RNA, 428 nt
Filed under: uncultured bacterium
Lineage: Bacteria
Description: bacterial SSU rRNA
Rfam family: Bacterial small subunit ribosomal RNA
Source: RNAcentral